AAUAAAUCUUCUCUUAUCCAACCCGUGCUUCAGCUCUACUUCUACUUUCUUUUUUCCCAUUUCCCGGCAUUUUUUAAAUUUCAAUUUAAAAAAUCACUCAUUGAGGUACCUAGCUCUGCACAUCCAGACCUAUGAGGUCAGGUCACCGAGCUAGGCAGCUUCUGCACGGGUUUAACAAAAAAUUCCAACCAAAUAUUAUUUUAGCGUUUCUAUUCCAAGCUCAGUGGAUUUUUGCGUCUACAUUCCAACUGCAUGUUGACCUCGCUCUGUUCCGAGCUCCAUCGCCGUUGACUUCUUGCCCCUCCACCUCUCAGUGCUCUGGUCCCAUCACCGCAGAUCCUUCCUCAUUUCCUGUGAUUCCUCCUGCCGCAGAUCCAACUCUUGCAACUCUCAUGGCAACAACAACAGCAAUGAUUAUCUCAAAGCUUCUCUCCUCUCAGGGCAUGGAUCUUUAUUUUAAGACAUGAUGGCCAAGAUGUGACAUGUGAAUAUUUUUUUGCUGCCAUGCGAGAUGCCAAUGAUGAAGAUGUUGCAAAUUUCUUGCUAUGGCAAGUAUUCUCAAGCUGGGAUCAUUGUUGUCAAAGUAAAUAUUUCUUAUAGUCCAGAAGCACAUCCUUUUUCUUUAAAAUUUAGUUAAGAGAUACCACCAACUCCUUAAGGAACCCACAUUCAUUUCUGUUGCAGUGGGUUUGCUUGAUUCCACUGACAAGGACAUUCCUCUUUCAACUGUUUAUGAUUCUAUGAGGCACUGCAAUCUGUUUCAAGUAAUGAUCAAUCAGUCUACACUACAAUCCUUGGAGUGACCAAGAUAUACUACAAAAUGAACGUAUGAUUUGUCUCAUAUUACUAAGUAUGAGCAUGGGUUUUUGGUGGGGAACAUUGUUGAACAGGCUGCAGUCAGAGAUGUUCAGGAGGCUUGUGUCUAUGAACGUAAUUUUGAGGAGGUUUAAUUAUUAAUAGUAUCUAAUUUUUUUUUAUUUGUUUCAUAUUUGAUCAUUUGUUGUUUCUGGAAUUCUUUGUUUUUUUUUUUCCAUAUUGGAUCUAUGUUGUUUAUGCUCCUAUAAUGAUUGAGGCAUGUUUCUCUUCUCUUUCUUGCUUAUAGUCGUAUAAAAAGACAGAAAUUGGAAAAUACUCAGAAUGCAAAAAUUAUUGGUUCAUUGCUUAUCAUUUUCUAUUUGGUUCAUUGUUCAUUGACAAUGCUCACUAUUGGUAAUAUCUUUUCUUUGUUAUUAAUAAAUAUGUGAAUGCUAACCUUUUUGCUAUUAGUUAUUCAUAUUUCCUGAAAUUUAAUGUCUUUGAUUGACCAUCAAGUAUAGCAUUGUGUGGGCUGAAGCUCGGAAGCAAAAGUAUUUGCCUUCUUUGGCUCAAAUGAAAGCUAUAGCAUGUUGGGCUUUUACUAAACUUGACUAUGGAAAUGAUGCCAAUGCUCUAAAGACCACAACAACAAAGAUGGGAGGUGGUUGGAUCCUUGAUGGCCAAAAGAGAUGGAUAGGAAAUAAUACGUUUGCUGGUUUGUUGGUUAUCUUUACUAGGAAUACAACAACGAACCAAAUAAAUGGCUUAGGUAUGGCUUUUGAAACGCAUCUUGAAGGAGCUCAAAGAUUUGCAGAAGGAUCCUCCUAUGUCAUGUAGAAGGCAUAGGUGGGUUGAAUAUGCAGAGAAGACAAGAUAUAAUGCCUCCCAGGUUCCAACUGAAUGGCAUGGUUGGGUCCAGUUCAUAACUGAUCACACUGGAUAUGAGGUUUCAUCUUCCAAGCCUAAAUAGGGACAAUUGUUUUUCAAUAAAUCAAUUAAGGAACUGUCAACCACAGGUUGUUGUCUAGAAGAGAGUUAUGGUGCCAAGCAUGAAGACAUAAUCCUUUAUGGACAAUCUGUUGGCAGUGGCCCAUCUUUGGAUCAUGCAGCUAGGUUGCCUCAAUUAAUAGUUGUUGUUCUGCACUAUCCUAUACUUUCUGGCUUAAGGGUCGUGUAUCUAGUAAAGCACAUCUUAGAUACAAGAACAUUGACAAGAUUCCGCAAGUUAAUUUUCCAAUUCUCAUAAUUCAUGCUGUGAACCUCGUGAUCAGCAUGUCACCAAACUACUCUAGAUAGAUAAAUGUAUUCAAGUCAAGAGUUUAAUUGGAGAGGGUGAGCUAUGCAACAAGGACAAUGACUUGGAACUAUCUAAGAGUGUUUUUCUUGGCAGGGUACUUCAGAUGAAGUUGUAGAUUGCUCCCUUGGCAAGCAACUCUGGGGUCUAUGUAAAGAGAAGUAUGAACCAUUGUGGCUCAAAGGAGGUAACCACUGUGAUUUGGAGCUCUUUCCUGAGUACAUCAGGCAUCUCAAGAAGUUCAUAACAACAGUUGAGAAAUCUCCAUCGCAACGAUACAGCUUCCGGCGGAGCAUAAACCAGUUUAAGCAGCCUCGAAAGAGUACAAAUAUUUUCAAAGUAAGUAGAAAAGGCACUGAUCGUAGUUUAGUAAAUUAUUUAUCAUAUGACAUUGCUAAGUUGAUGCUCCAAAUUAGUCUUGCAAUUCUUUUUCAAUAUAUUUAUCAUGAAUGCAUUUCAAUAUGUUAGCAGUUUUAGAUU
Molecule: long non-coding RNA, 2569 nt
Organism: Glycine soja
Lineage: Eukaryota; Viridiplantae; Streptophyta; Magnoliopsida; Fabales; Fabaceae
Exons: 14
Source: RefSeq, a predicted model, not a curated record